Molecule: small nuclear RNA, 140 nt
Organism: Sapajus apella (tufted capuchin)
Lineage: Eukaryota; Metazoa; Chordata; Mammalia; Primates; Cebidae
Product: U4 spliceosomal RNA
Exons: 1
Source: RefSeq, a predicted model, not a curated record
AGGUUUGCACAGUGGUAGUAUCGUAGCCAAUGAGUUUUAUCCGAGUGCGAUUAUUGCUAAUUGAAAACUUUUCCCAAAACCCCGCCAUGACGACUUGAGAUAUGGUCAGCAUUGGCAAUUUUUGACAAUCUCUAUAGAGA